RNAcentral lists this ribosomal RNA (758 nucleotides) under uncultured bacterium. Its description in RNAcentral is "bacterial SSU rRNA". It matches the Rfam family "Bacterial small subunit ribosomal RNA", at positions 8 to 796 of the family's 1533-position model. The record is from RNAcentral.
AGAGUUUGAUCAUGGCUCAGAUUGAACGCUGGCGGCGUGCCUAACACAUGCAAGUCGAACGAGGUAGCAAUACCUAGUGGCAGACGGGUGAGUAACGCGUGGUCAACCUACCUCCGAGCGGGGGAUAACUAGCCGAAAGGCUAGCUAAUACCGCAUGAUACCGCAGCCGGCAUCGGCAUCGGUUGAAAGCCGCAAGGCACUCGGGGACGGGACCGCGUCCGAUUAGUUAGUUGGUGGGGUAACGGCCUACCAAGACUCCGAUCGGUAGCUGGUUUGAGAGAACGACCAGCCACACUGGGACUGAGAACGGCCCAGACUCCUACGGGAGGCAGCAGUGAGGAAUUUUCCGCAAUGGGCGAAAGCCUGACGGAGCGACGCCGCGUGUGGGAAGAAGGCCUUCGGGUCGUAAACCACUGUCGAGGGGGAAGAUACUGACGGUACCCCUGGAGGAAGCCCCGGCUAACUACGUGCCAGCAGCCGCGGUAAGACGUAGGGGGCAAGCGUUAUUCGGAAUUAUUGGGCGUAAAGCGCUCGUAGGCGGGACAGGAAGUCCGUGAAGAAAGACCUGGGCUCAACUCAGGGACCGGCACGGAUACUCUUGUUCUUGAGGCAAUCAGAGGGUGAUGGAAUUCCCGGUGUAGCGGUGAAAUGCGUAGAUAUCGGGAGGAACCCAGUGGCGAAGGCGAUCACCUGGGGUUGUUCUGACGCUGAGGAGCGAAAGCUAGGGGAGCAAACGGGAUUAGAUACCCUAGUAGUCC